GGGGGAUUAGCUCAGUUGGCUAGAGCGCUAGAUUUGCAUUCUAGAGGUCAAGGGUUCGACUCCUCCACAUAAAUUAAGAGGACCCCAUCCUCCA
This 94-nucleotide transfer RNA is filed under the name Saprospiraceae bacterium. Its description in RNAcentral is "tRNA-Ala". It matches the Rfam family "tRNA". Rfam says of the family: Transfer RNA (tRNA) molecules are approximately 80 nucleotides in length. Their secondary structure includes four short double-helical elements and three loops (D, anti-codon, and T loops). The record is from RNAcentral. Lineage: Bacteria; Pseudomonadati; Bacteroidota; Saprospiria; Saprospirales; Saprospiraceae.